AGAGUUUGAUCCUGGCUCAGGAUGAACGCUGGCGGCGUGCCUAAUACAUGCAAGUCGAACGGAGAGUGAUACUUCGGUAGAAGCUCUUAGUGGCGAACGGGUGAGUAACGCGUUGGUGACCUACCCCGAAGAGAGGGAUAACAGUUCGAAAGGACUGCUAAUACCUCAUGAUAUCAUAAAGGUUAGAGGCUAUAUGAUGAAAGGAGAGAUCCGCUUUGGGAGGGGCCUGCGUCCCAUCAGCUAGUUGGUAAGGUAAAGGCUUACCAAGGCAGAGACGGGUAGGGGACCUGAGAGGGUGACCCCCCACAAUGGAACUGAAACACGGUCCAUACACCUACGGGUGGCAGCAGUAGGGAAUAUUGCACAAUGGGCGAAAGCCUGAUGCAGCAACGCCGCGUGUGCGAUGAAGGCCUUCGGGUUGUAAAGCACUUUUCGGGGAGAUGAGGAAGGACAGUAUCCCCGGAAUAAGGCUCGGCUAACUACGUGCCAGCAGCCGCGGUAAAACGUAGGAGUCAAGCGUUAUCCGAAUUUACUGGGCGUAAAGCGCGUGCAGGCGGUUUAGUAAGUUGGAUGUGAAAGCUCCCGGCUCAACUGGGAGAGGACGUUCAACACUGCUAGACUAGAGGGCGACAGAGGGAGGUGGAAUUCCCGGUGUAGUGGUGAAAUGCGUAGAUAUCG
RNAcentral lists this ribosomal RNA (678 nucleotides) under uncultured bacterium. RNAcentral's name for it is "bacterial SSU rRNA". It matches the Rfam family "Bacterial small subunit ribosomal RNA", at positions 8 to 699 of the family's 1533-position model. The record is from RNAcentral.